Antechinus flavipes (yellow-footed antechinus) is the source of this 2287-nucleotide long non-coding RNA. RefSeq lists it as uncharacterized. NCBI's taxonomy places the organism in Eukaryota, Metazoa, Chordata, Mammalia, Dasyuromorphia, Dasyuridae. The transcript has 2 exons. The record is from RefSeq and is a predicted model, not a curated record.
UUUCCUGUGCAGUGGUUUAUGUACUACUACUACUACUACUACUUCUACUACUAUUGCUGCUGUUGCUGGUGCUGCCACAAACUCCAGAAAGAAUGCCUAAGAAAGAAAAAAAAACCUAGCAUUUUCCUGUGCAGUGGUUUAUGUACUACUACUAUUACUGCUACUACUACUACUUCUACUACUAUUGCUGCUGUUGCUGCUGCUACAAAUUACAGAAAGAAUGCCUAAAAAAGAAAAAAAAAAAACCUAGCAUUUUCCUAAGCAGUGGUUUAUGUACAACUACUACUACUUCUACUACUAUUGCUGCUGUUGCUGCUGCUACAAACUACAGAAAAGAAUGCCUAAAAAAAGAAGAAAAAAACUAGCAUUUUCCUGUGCAGUGGUUUAUGUACUACUACUACUACUACUGCUAUUACUACUACUUCUACUACUAUUGCUGCUGUUGCUGCUGCUACAAACUACAGAAAGAAUGCCUAAGAAAAGAAGAAAAAAACCUAGCAUUUUCCUGUGCAGUGGUUUAUGUACUACUACUACUGCUACUUCUACUACUAUUGCUGCUGUUGCUGCUGCCACAAACUACAGAAAGAAUGCCUAAAAAAGAAAAAAAAACUAGCAUUUUCCUAUGUAGUAGUUUAUGUCCUGCUGCUACUAUUAUUGCUACAACUGCUACUACUACUACUUCUACUACUAUUGCUGCUGUUGCUGCUGCCACAAACUACAGAAAGAAUGCCUAAAAAAAGAAAAAAAUCCUAGCAUUUUCCUAUUCGGUGGUUUUUGUACUACCACUACUACUACUUCUACUACUAUUGCUGUUGUUCCUGCUGCUGCUACAAACUACAGAAAGAAUACCUAAAAAAGGAAAAAAAAAAAAAACCUAGCAUUUUUCUAUUCAGUGGUUUAUGUACUACCACUACUACUACUUCUACUACUAUUGCUGCUGUUGCUGCUGCUGCCACAAACUACAGAAAGAAUGCCUAAAAGAAGAAAAAAAAAACCUAGCAUUUUCCUAUUCAGUGGUUUAUGUACUACCACUACUACUACUUCUACUACUAUUGCUGCUGUUGCUGCUGCUGCCACAACCUACAGAAAGAAUGCCUAAAAAAAGAAAAAAAAACUAGCAAUCUCCUAUGCAGUAGUUUAUGUACUACUUCUACUACUAUUGCUGCUGUUGCUGCUGCUACAAACUACAGAAAGAAUGCCUAAAAAAAAAAAAACUACCAUUUUCCUAUCCAAGUUAUGGUUUUGCAAAGUACUGUACUAUCACCACCACCAUUACUACUACUGCUGCUGCUGCUGCUGCUGCUAUUACAGGUAAGGAAACUGAGGCAGACAAGUUAAAUACAGCUGUAUGUUGAAUCCUUCAUACUUAUAGUAGUACAUAUUUUUAGUGAUUUCCUCUACUAAUGUCCUUCUCUGACACCUCGGUGAGAUGCGGUGAGAAUUCCUGAAAGCUGUGCUGAGUACAAACUGGCAAGUCCUACCCAUCUGUACAAGCUGGUAAUACCAGCCAAGGACAGACUGUGUCUGCUCUCGGAACUAAAGACCAUGACCAGAUGGCUACAAGAUGAUGAACUUUCUGGCCACAGUACAUCAUGGAAAGAGCUGAUGAGAGUGCAGAGGGGAUACAGUCAGGGCCACCGUUACUGACCACGGAUCCUUGAAGUGCUGAAUCCCUAACCAAUAAGGACAUUUUUUUAAAGAUCCUUGGACAUGCAUUCUUCUUUUUAUUUGAUGCAAAAGAAGAUUUUUUAAAAGAAUUUAAUGACUAGCACAGAUUGGGACCUAUAUUUCAUUUUUCCAAAAUAAAACUACCAAGGAAUUUAAAUUUAAAAGGUGAUUGCAGCUCAUGUGAUUAUUUUAAUUUGGAAUACACAUACAGGAUUACUUGUGCAUGCACAUUAAAGAAAGAGCUUUUUGUGGCAAGGGAGUUCUUUAAAAACUAAUCUCAGCCCCAUAUAACAUAAUAAAUCAUUAAUAAUAUACAGACUCUAAACUCUGCAAAUGUAUUGACACAAGUGGCCACACUGUGUCUGUAGUCUGCAUAUGAAAAUGACUCUGCCAAGAUAUUUCAACUUAAUAAAAAUAAUUUGUCAUUUUAAAUCUUCUGCCUCCAGAUUUUGCUGAUAUAAUUUAUUACUAUUAGUAUGUAUUAUGAGAGCAUACUCAUGUAGCUAUACCUGUUUGUGAAAUGGCUAGGCUUUUGAAGAAAACUAAUUUGUCUGCUCUCACAUGAAUAAUUCUUAGUGGUAUGCCUUAUUAAAGAAAACCGGUGAUAAAGAAAAAAAAA